CCUUUUGGCUAAGAUCAAGUGUAGUAUCUGUUCUUAUCAGUUUAAUAUCUGAUACGUCCUCUAUCCCAGGACAAUAUAUUAAAUGGAUUUUUGGAAGUAGGAGUUGGAAUAGGAGCUUGCUCCGUCCACUCCACGCAUCGACCUGGUAUUGCAGAGAUGGGAAGA
This is a long non-coding RNA of Cebus imitator (Panamanian white-faced capuchin), 165 nucleotides long. RefSeq lists it as uncharacterized. The transcript is spliced from 3 exons. The record is from RefSeq and is a predicted model, not a curated record. NCBI's taxonomy places the organism in Eukaryota, Metazoa, Chordata, Mammalia, Primates, Cebidae.